AAUCAACGCUGGCGGCGUGCCUAACACAUGCAAGUCGAACGAGAAAGUGACUUCGGUCACUGGAAAGUGGCGUCCGGGUGAGUAACACGUGGGUAAUCUACCCUCGGGUGGGAUAACGGAUCGAAGAUUCGCUAAUACCGCAUAAUGCAGCGGCACCUAAUGGUGAAUAGUUGUUAAAGCGGGGAGUCGCAGACUCGCGCCUGAAGAGGAGCCUGCGGCAGANAGUCUAGUUGG
Molecule: ribosomal RNA, 234 nt
Filed under: uncultured bacterium
Lineage: Bacteria
Description: partial 16S ribosomal RNA
Rfam family: Bacterial small subunit ribosomal RNA
Source: RNAcentral